This 440-nucleotide ribosomal RNA is filed under the name uncultured bacterium. RNAcentral's name for it is "partial 16S ribosomal RNA". It matches the Rfam family "Bacterial small subunit ribosomal RNA", at positions 338 to 795 of the family's 1533-position model. The record is from RNAcentral.
CCUACGGGGGGCUGCAGUGGGGGAUAUUGCACAAUGGGGGGAACCCUGAUGCAGCGACGCCGCGUGGGUGAAGGAGCGUUUCGGCGCGUAAAGCCCUAUCGGCAGGGAAGAAGAUGACGGUACCUGACCAAGAAGCCCCGGCUAAAUACGUGCCAGCAGCCGCGGGAAUACGUAGGGGGCACGCGUUAUCCGGAUUUACUGGGGGGAAAGGGGGCGCAGACGGCAAUGCAAGCCAGGAGUGAAAGCCCGGGGACCAACCCCGGGACUGCUCUUGGAACUGGAAGGCUGGAGUGCAGGAGGGGCUGGCGGAAUUCCUGGUGUAGCGGUGAAAUGCGUAGAUAUUAGGAGGAACACCGGUGGCGAAGGCGACCUGCUGGACUGUAACUGACGUUGAGGCCCGAAGGCGUGGGGAGCAAACAGGAUUAGAUACCCUAGUAGUC